RNAcentral lists this non-coding RNA (98 nucleotides) under Vibrio cincinnatiensis. RNAcentral's name for it is "TPP sequence". It matches the Rfam family "TPP riboswitch aptamer (THI element)". From Rfam's summary of the family: Vitamin B(1) in its active form thiamin pyrophosphate (TPP) is an essential coenzyme that is synthesised by coupling of pyrimidine and thiazole moieties in bacteria. Lineage: Bacteria; Pseudomonadati; Pseudomonadota; Gammaproteobacteria; Vibrionales; Vibrionaceae. The record is from RNAcentral.
CCGUUAUAGUCGGGGAGCCUUUGAGCUGAGAUCGCACAGCGAGACCCGUUGAACCUGAUUCAGUUAACACUGACGUAGGGAACUAUCGCGGACCAUUU